AUGGACAAGUUGCUCUGGCCCUGGGGCCGCAGCCAUGGACAUGGACAUCUCUCUCUCUGUUUCUCACUCUGGAAUGACGUGAUCCAAGCCCCAGAAUCCAUGUGGCAGCACGACAUGUACUCGAAUGCCUCUGCGAGAAGCGGCGGUGGCGGGAUGGUCUCGGCUGUUGAGACCGUCACCAAGCUCUUCAUCACCAAUUUGUACUUUGGUGUUUCAACUAAGGACGUGAAGAUUGUUGAACUUAUUCCUGAGAAUACUCCGUUAGGAAAGCCAUGUGAUGAGGAUAGGCAAUGUUUUCUUUCCCCCAAGACAUUUGGUGUCUGCGUUGGAGUUUGCAAAGUCAAUGCCAUAUUCUGGAUCUUGCUCCUUAAUUGUGGCAUCUACUCGUUGCAGACCACUUGCCAGCAUUGGUAUUGUGUUUCUGCUCAUGCACUCUUUUCUUUUCUGAAACAUGUGAAGAAAGGCAUCGGAAGGGAUUGUUGCCUACCUGGCACCUCAAAUUUGAAAAGGGCAGUGUACCUACCAGGCACCGCCGAACUCUCUCUCAGGUGGCGCGCCAAUGGCGCGCCCCAGCUGCUAGUUCUCAGCAACAAUUAA
RNAcentral lists this ribosomal RNA (597 nucleotides) under Triticum aestivum (bread wheat). RNAcentral's name for it is "partial small subunit ribosomal RNA". Lineage: Eukaryota; Viridiplantae; Streptophyta; Magnoliopsida; Poales; Poaceae. The record is from RNAcentral.